UCAACCNUUGUAGGCUUUGGAAACUGUUUAACUUGAGUGCAGAAGGGGAGAGUGGAAUUCCAUGUGUAGCGAUGAAAUGCGUAGAUAUAUGGAGGAACACCGGUGGCGAAAGCGGCUCUCUGGUCUGUAACUGACGCUGAGGCUCGAAAGCGUGGGGAGCGAACAGGAUUAGAUACCCUGGUAGUCCACGCCGUAAACGAUGAGUGCUAGGUGUUAGGUCCUUUCCGGGAUUUAGUGCCGCAGCUAACGCAUUAAGCACUCCGCCUGGGGAGUACGACCGCAAGGUUGAAACUCAAAGGAAUUGACGGGGGCUCGCACAAGCGGUGGAGCAUGUGGUUUAAUUCGAAGCAACGCGAAGAACCUUACCAGGUCUUGACAUCCCGAUGCCCGCUCUAGAGAUAGAGCUUUACUUCGGUACAUCGGUGACAGGUGGUGCAUGGUUGUCGUCAGCUCGUGUCGUGAGAUGUUGGGUUAAGUCCCGCAACGAGCGCAACCCUUAUUGUUAGUUGCCAUCAUUCAGUUGGGCACUCUAGCGAGACUGCCGGUAAUAAACCGGAGGAAGGUGGGGAUGACGUCAAAUCAUCAUGCCCCUUAUGACCUGGGCUACACACGUGCUACAAUGGCUGGUACAACGAGUCGCAAGCCGGUGACGGCAAGCUAAUCUCUGAAAGCCAGUCUCAGUUCGGAUUGUAGGCUGCAACUCGCCUACAUGAAGUCGGAACCGCUAGUAAUCGCGGAUCAGCACGCCGCGGUGAAUACGUUCCCGGGCCUUGUACACACCGCCCGUCACACCACGAGAGUUUGUAACACCCGAAGUCGGUGAGGUAACCGUAAGGAG
RNAcentral lists this ribosomal RNA (838 nucleotides) under uncultured bacterium. RNAcentral describes it as "bacterial SSU rRNA". It matches the Rfam family "Bacterial small subunit ribosomal RNA", at positions 609 to 1448 of the family's 1533-position model. The record is from RNAcentral.